UCCCUAUAUAGGAGCAUUUUUCUAUUGUGCGUGUACACUGAGGAGCAGAGACACGAGAGCAGCACAUGGAUGUAUUAUAAGAACUGGAUAGAGCACCGCCACUUUGGCUCCAUUCAAUCUUCAUGAAUACCGACGGCACGUUUGCUUCCAACAACAGUGAAUACAGUGCAGACUGCUGGUGAGGAGUGAUCGAAACGUGAAAAUAAAAUGGAGCACAAGAGCGAUGCUGAUAAAACCUCUGAGAUCACUCAAGUUCCCUCUCUCAGGAUCACAGCGCAGGGGGGAGGAAUUGUGGUCGCUCCCUGCUUCAAUGGUUGUACUGUUGUCAACGUAAACAUCUAUAUCAACUCAUGUUACUCAGAGUGCAAGGCUUCAUCAAAAGAUGCACAGAACCAUGAGACUGAAAAAAUGAACAGCGAAAGACAUGACAGGACUACGCUACUGACGUGCGCAAGCGGAUUUGUAAAUAAAUGUCAGAACCAACAAUAGUGAAUACAGUAAGCUGAAAAGUAUAAUGAUGUCGUUACAGGUUAAAAUGAUCAAUUUAAUGGCUCUAUUAAUUGACCGUGGCUAUUAGUUUAUUUGUGUUACAGGAAUGAUGUUGUUUUCUUGGACACUUCUUGCUUGAUUUUCCAUUCACUGAUAUACUGUAUGCUAAUAAUCAAAAAUCAAAACGACUGCCUUUACUCACACAUCAACAUCACUACCCGCACUUAGUUUCAUCUCCGUAACAUGAACAGACUGUAGAAACCACAUUUUGUUGGUCACUUCCUCCUGUACCAAAGUCCAUAGAGAAAAUCAGUGUUUUUAGCUCAUGGGGACACAGGAGCUGCUGCUCAUCUGCUGCCUUUUUGAACAAAGGAUUCCAAACACCAAAAUCACACAUUAGAACUUGGUGAUGGAGGCAUCAAUGGAUCAACAUCUCCUCUGUGUUGUGAUGUAAAAUCAUUGUCUUUCUUUCUAUGUGCUUAUGUGCGGGACUUUCCUGCUGAAAAAGGGAAAAAGACGAGCAUCAGACUGACACUGUGCGUGGGAUCAGCUGAGCCUGAGGUUGUUGGAUUAACUUUAGCCAACAUCUUUCUCCAAAUACAAAUUAUGAGGAUAUUUAACUGGACCACCAUGUGACGCUUUUAGCAUAUAAGGGAUCAUUUAUCACUUUUCUGCAGAUUUUUAUUUAUCUUCACUCUGUGGUGAAUUCAUUGGUUUUCCUUUGCUGCUGGUGGGAAUAUUAAAGACUGUGUGUUGGUGAAUUGCUAUGCAGUUUGUACAGAUUGUAGCUGGUAGCAGCUAACCAAAAAAAAAAAGAAAGAAAAAGGAACACUUAAGUGCCAGAUAACCGUUAAAGCAGGUGGAGGUUCUUUACUAUACUUAUUUCAAAAUACUAACUCCAUCUUCAGGUCUGUGAUACAGCGCCUCCUGCUGGUCUUUGCCUUACACUAAUCUGUUGUCACUCUCAUAGGUACUGGUGCUUUAUUUGUGGGGGGUUUUAUUGAUGUUUUUAGGGGUAAGAUGAUGGCAAGAUUAAAUAAGACAUGAGUCUCUUUGAAAAUGCAAUAAAUAUUGUAUAUUUACGUAAUGGAAUAUGAUAAUCAUAGUUGUUCUAUUUUAUUUUGUAAAAAGGCUGUAAAAUAGGAAAGAGAGCUGGUUAAGAUGAUGAAACAUGUUCCAGCAGAGGGAGCUGGGAGGACGUGGGACACUUUGCAGUGAACAGUGGGGAAAAAAACCCAGUUGGCAGUGAAACUGGUGAAUGUGGCGAGUGAUGGAUGAUGUACAGCGAUGACUACAACACCUCCUGUCCAGGGUUUUAUGCUCACUUUGACAUUUUCUUACUUUGUUCAUGCUAAAAAGUGGUCAUUUCAUGUUAAUCAACAUCUGUUUUUAUUCUUUGAAAUCAUUUGAAAUAAAUGUAUUCCUGUUGGGGAAAAGGGAAAUUGA
Solea solea (common sole) is the source of this 1935-nucleotide long non-coding RNA. RefSeq lists it as uncharacterized. NCBI's taxonomy places the organism in Eukaryota, Metazoa, Chordata, Actinopteri, Pleuronectiformes, Soleidae. The record is from RefSeq and is a predicted model, not a curated record. The transcript has 4 exons.